GAUGAACGCUGGCGGCGUGCUUAACACAUGCAAGUCGAACGAAGCACUUUAUUUGAUUUCCUUCGGGACUGAUUAUUUUGUGACUGAGUGGCGGACGGGUGAGUAACGCGUGGGUAACCUGCCUUGUACAGGGGGAUAACAGUUGGAAACGGCUGCUAAUACCGCAUAAGCGCACGGCAUCGCAUGAUGCAGUGUGAAAAACUCCGGUGGUAUAAGAUGGACCCGCGUUGGAUUAGCUAGUUGGUGAGGUAACGGCCCACCAAGGCGACGAUCCAUAGCCGACCUGAGAGGGUGACCGGCCACAUUGGGACUGAGACACGGCCCAAACUCCUACGGGAGGCAGCAGUGGGGAAUAUUGCACAAUGGGCGAAAGCCUGAUGCAGCGACGCCGCGUGAGCGAAGAAGUAUUUCGGUAUGUAAAGCUCUAUCAGCAGGGAAGAUAAUGACG
This 448-nucleotide ribosomal RNA is filed under the name uncultured bacterium. Its description in RNAcentral is "bacterial SSU rRNA". It matches the Rfam family "Bacterial small subunit ribosomal RNA", at positions 28 to 456 of the family's 1533-position model. The record is from RNAcentral.